CCAUGGGGCCGGAUAAAUGGCUUCGAUGGGCCGCAUCCGCCCCCCGGGCCUUAGUUUGGGGACCCCUGCUCUAGAACAUCACAGUUUCAUAAUUAACUUUAUCUAUAGCAAAAAAUGGAGGCCGGGAGGGAGGGAGGGAGGGAUCCAAGGUUGUAGCUAUUGAGGGGCUAAGUAAUGAUAUUACUUCAUAAAAAUUCAUCCUCCUCAAAUUAAAAUAUCUUUUAGUUUCAUAAUUUCUAGCAUUACAGAGAGUAAGGACCUUAUCCCAUGAGGGGUGGGAAAAGCAUUAUCUUAUUGUGAGAGGAUCUUAUUCAUCCUCUUGCAUUUAAAAUCAAAUCGUAUUCUUUCUCAGAUCUCAUCACAUAUUGUUCUUUCUUGUCUUUUCUCCUGAAAUCAUCCAUUUUUAGAUUUAUCACAUGAGCAAGUGCAAUUCACUCUAAUUUAAAAAACUUGGAAAAAAACUUUGGCGAUACUUAACUUUCCUCUCCAAUUCCGUUACUCUAGAGAAGACCCAAGGUACUGUUCUUAAGACAGACACCACUUUUGGGAUACUUGACUUUUCUCUCUAAUCCCAAAACUCUAGAGCAAGGGGCCCCUGGAAGGCAACUAUCCAGCCCCCACGGCAGUGGCUUCCUCCUUCUCCUCUGAGGAAGGUGCAUGCCGCCACUCCGUCCUUUCCCUCCACAAGCCUUUGCAGCCCUUUCUGCACUCUCCCUGCACAAGCAUUUGCAGGCAUUCCUGGCUCUUCCUUCUCCCUGCACAAGCCUUUCCCGCCUUCUUCCUUGCCCUGUGCCUGUCUGGAGUUGGAGUUGGAGCUUUGCUUGUGUUUACAAAGGCUGGCCAUGCACCGGAGGGGCUUCUUCCUUGUCUGGGCAUCUAGCCAGGCAUUUCUCCCGCCUGCCCUGCCUCCUCUACUGCACUCUUUGGGGAAACUUCACCGUCCACUCCAGCCUCAAUGUCCUCCUCAGGGACCUUUGUGAGAACCAAACUCAGCCCUUUUGGAGACCUGCAAUGUAGACCUGGAGCCAUUUACAAGACUUACAUAACUCUUCUGAAAGUCAUAGGUCAGUAUUUUGAAUCUUAAGCUUUUUUGUGUGGCUGCCCCUCCAGUUUCUUAAUUUUGCUUCAUAUGUACGAAUCUGGGGCCCCUGGUGGCACAGUGUGUUAAAGCUGAGCUGCUGAACUUGUGGACUAAAAGGUCCCAGGUUCAAAUCCCGGGAGCGGAAUGAGCGUCCGCUGUUAGCCCCAGCUUCUGCCAACCUAGCAGUUCGAAAACAUGCCAGUGUGAGUAGAUCAAUAGGUACCGCUCUGGCAGGAAGGUAAUGGCACUCCAUGCAGUCAUGCCGGCCACAUGACCUUGGAGGUGUCUACGGAUAACACCGGCUCUUUGGCUUAGAAACUGAGAUGAGCACCAACCCCUAGAGUCGGUCACGACUGGACUUAACGUCAGGGGAAACGUUUACCUUUACUUUUUACCUGUCAGAACCCUGCUACUAGAGCCUGGAUGUGGCUCUGAGUUUCAGGGUCACUGACAUUGAUAAGACACCUGCGUCCCAGGACUCGGAGGAGAAACGGCUGAUGGACUUGGCGGGGAAUUUGCGCGGGGUUUUACUGAGCGGGAAGAGACUGUUCAAAUGAGGGGGAGGGUAUAUAAAGGAGGGUUGGCCGGAGCC
RNAcentral lists this long non-coding RNA (1673 nucleotides) under Anolis carolinensis (green anole). RNAcentral's name for it is "lncRNA (ENSACAG00000035325.1)". Lineage: Eukaryota; Metazoa; Chordata; Lepidosauria; Squamata; Anolidae. The record is from RNAcentral.